Molecule: ribosomal RNA, 924 nt
Filed under: uncultured fungus
Lineage: Eukaryota; Fungi
Description: eukaryotic LSU rRNA
Rfam family: Eukaryotic large subunit ribosomal RNA (bases 276-924)
Source: RNAcentral
AUCGAUGAAGAACGCAGCGAAACGCGAUAGGUAAUGUGAAUUGCAGAAUUCAGUGAAUCAUCGAAUCUUUGAACGCACAUUGCGCCCCUUGGUAUUCCGGGGGGCAUGCCUGUUCGAGCGUCAUUUCAACCCUCAAGCCUAGCUUGGUCUUGGGCUCUGCCGGCAACGGCUGGCCUUAAAAUCAGUGGCGGUGCCAUCGAGCUCUACGCGUAGUAAUUAAACCCUCGCGUGUGAGUCCCGGUAGACGCUUGCCAGCAACCCCCAAUUUCUAUGGUUGACCUCGGAUCAGGUAGGGAUACCCGCUGAACUUAAGCAUAUCAAUAAGCGGAGGAAAAGAAACCAACAGGGAUUACCUCAGUAACGGCGAGUGAAGCGGUAACAGCUCAAAUUUGAAAUCUGGCUCUUUCAGGGUCCGAGUUGUAAUUUGUAGAAGAUGCUUCGGGUGUGGCUCCGGUCUAAGUUCCUUGGAACAGGACGUCAUAGAGGGUGAGAAUCCCGUAUGUGACUGGUUGCCUCCGCCCAUGUGAAGCUCUUUCGACGAGUCGAGUUGUUUGGGAAUGCAGCUCAAAAUGGGUGGUAAAUUUCAUCUAAAGCUAAAUAUUGGCCAGAGACCGAUAGCGCACAAGUAGAGUGAUCGAAAGAUGAAAAGCACUUUGGAAAGAGAGUUAAACAGUACGUGAAAUUGUUGAAAGGGAAGCGCUUGCAAUCAGACUUGCGCGCUGCUGAUCAUCCGGAGUUCUCUCCGGUGCACUCGGUAGUGCUCAGGCCAGCAUCGGUUUGGGUGGUUGGAUAAAGGCCUUGGGAAUGUAGCUUCUUUCGGGGAGUGUUAUAGCCCUCGGUGCAAUGCAGCCUAUCCGGACCGAGGACCGCGCUUCGGCUAGGAUGCUGGCGUAAUGGUUGUAAGCGACCCGUCUUGAAACACGG